This is a long non-coding RNA of Triticum aestivum (bread wheat), 1533 nucleotides long. RefSeq lists it as uncharacterized. The record is from RefSeq and is a predicted model, not a curated record. NCBI's taxonomy places the organism in Eukaryota, Viridiplantae, Streptophyta, Magnoliopsida, Poales, Poaceae. The transcript has 3 exons.
CUAGAGACCGGUAAGAAAAGAAAAAAAAGACUCUAGAGCAGCAGCGCCUCUCAAAUUUGCUGAUCAUUAGUUGGUGUUCAGAGCGGAGGUUCGAGUUUGUGGCCAGGGGUUGGAGAAAUCGGAGCCGAGCUGGCCGGCCUGUGGUGGCCCGGGUUGAUACUACGACGCUGGACGAGGAGUCUGGGGAUAGGGCUCCUCCCAGGUACAGGAACCUGCAGGACAUCGAUGCCGAUUUGAUAGGUCAGAAUCGGGGGUUGAGAUAUCAAGUUCAGUCCUUAGUGCAGCAGAUGGAGGCCAUGCAAGCACAACUGGCCCGAAUCGCUGUUGGCGGGUGACUGCGGGAUGUGCCAGAAGAGCAGGGGCAGCGAGGAUGCUUCAUACGACAGCGACAACUCUUCGGAGGACUAUCUACUGAAGAAUUUGCGGAUUGGAUGGAUGAAGUAGAGCGCAUCUUCGAUUAUGCAGAGUUUCCAGAGGAUGAACGUGUCCCUGCAGUAGCAACGCGGCUAAAGGGCCGUGCCUCUAUUUGGUGGAAGAAUUUGGAACAGAGUCGAAAAGUCCAUCACAAGCGAGAGAUUGAUUCUUGACUGCAAUGAAGGAGAAAAUGCAGAGAGAAUUUCUUCCCUUUAAUUAUGAGGAAGCCCUGUUCAGACAGCUCCAAAACUUACGACAAGGCAACAAGAGUGUCGGUGAAUAUACAGAUGAGUUCUAUCAAGUAGUCUCACGAAACAAUUUAAGUGAUUCAAAGAGUCAGUUAGUGGCAAGAUACAUUGGAGGCUUACAUCAGUCCAUCCAAGAUGUGCUUACUCUACAUGUCAAUUUUUUAGUGUCAGAGGCGUGUGAGCGAGCGUUCGCCAUUGAGAAGUAGCUGCAGGGGCCAUUACUUGGUGGUGGUAAUUUAUCUCGGACAUGCCCUUAUACAACAUCACCCAAGACAGUUGUGGAUAGCAGCAAAGCAAGGAAAAUGGGGUCUGCACCCACACCAAAAGGAGGUACAGAUUUGUCUAAAUAUUCUACAGCCAAGAGUGCUAAUUGUUACAAGUGUGGAUCUUCUGAACAUCUAAAAAGGAUUUCCCAAAGAACUGUCGUGAUGGAAAGGGAUUGAUGGCAGAAUUGGAUGAAGAGUUCCAGCAGCAAGGAUGAGCCUGUGUAUGAUGAUUCUGAAGGUGAUGAAGUUGAGUUAGACGGAGAUACAGGGGAUAUGUUGGUAAUGGAGCGAGCUUUGAUGAUACCUCCAAAUAAAGACAAAGAUUGGCGCCAACGGAGCUUGUUCCACACACGUUGUACUAUUACUGGAAAGUAUGUCAUGUUAUUAUUGAUACUGGCAGCUGGGAGAACACUAUAUCAAAGGAGGCGGUAAAUAAACUGGGGCUUAAGAAGGAAAAUCAUCCUUGUCCUUAUAACGUGCGCUGGUUCAAACCUGACAAGGUAUCCAAGCCAUUUGAGUCAGUCAUGGGAAAAUCUGGAGUGAAAACAAGGUCUUCUGAGUAGUCAGUGCUACCUGUCGGUGCAGAUUUCCUGCUGGUUACAGAU